RNA transcript from Tympanuchus pallidicinctus (lesser prairie-chicken), 15351 nucleotides. It is a transcript of the gene named nuclear receptor subfamily 2 group C member 1, with no coding region annotated. The transcript is spliced from 17 exons. The record is from RefSeq and is a predicted model, not a curated record. Lineage: Eukaryota; Metazoa; Chordata; Aves; Galliformes; Phasianidae.
CUUAGAAGGGCAGCGUGAGGGAGCCCUUGGCUUUGGGGUCAGGGUGGUGCCAGAAGAUAGAAAAGGAUCCGUUGGGAAGGAGGAGCAGAACGUUGUACUGCGCUGGAGAGGCUGCGUUCACCUGGUGGAUCUUGCUUCUGGGCUUUGUGGUUUUGGAUCCGUUCUUUAUGUAACACAGCUUCCUGCCUUUAAGAAACUAUAAUGAUUAUUUUGCCUCUCCCUGGUGGUUGUGCCGUGAGAUGAGCCAGUCCGAGAGAGCAGAGGGGACGCUUCCUUGAGGGCAGCAGUAAGCUGUGAGGCGUUGGACUGCUGCUGUCUGCAGCCCUUCCUCCAGAGGCACUGCAGACCUGCUCCUGGGCAGGACCAGGUAUUCUCAUGUGACAGCGGUCAGCGCUGAGCUCGUGUGAGGGACACACGGUCACCUGAUGGCCCGCGGCACUCGGCUGCUGUGGUUCUGCACAGUGCUGUGUCUGCGUGCUGCCUGCUCAGCCUGUCACAGUCUGCAGCAGCAGAUGAGGAACCUUUCCAUGAGAGGCCAAUAGAUAAAUCAUGGAGCUUUAACUUUUUUCCCUGUAUUCUUGGGGCACAGCCUGAAGGUCGUGUGUGUGUCUGUGAAGUUGGGUCUAUUUUAGCAGGAAGCAGGUUGGGCUGGGUGACCUCUGGAAUUAACUUUGAGUGGGAUUUAUUUCACAACUAUAUUUUGUAUUGAAAUAUUGGGGAUUAUGGGUUGGCAGAGGAUGAGACUGAUAAUGCAGCAUGCUGUGGAAGGGCUCCUGUGCAAAACAAAACAUACUUAAAGCUGUCAUACCAGUCAGUGCUCACUAGACUUUUUUCCCUAAUGAGGAGUCUAAAUAUUUACACUGUCAAGAUUAGUUUGCUUGUUCUCUAUACUGAUACAGUUUUCAUUUGGCUUUAUUGUGUGUUCUUUGUGUUGAGCAAUUAAAGUUGAGGUAGCCAAGAAGGUUGCUGUAGUUCUCUUCCAGCUUGUGGAAGAAAGGAGCUGCACUAAGAUGCUUAGCCUACAACUAAUGUUUGGGUGAAAAUCUCUGGUGGAAAGAAACCAAAACUAAAAACCCAUCCCCUUCGCUUAAAAUAGGGCGCUUAGCGAUGUAUAAGGAGUGGAGCAAAGUGAAGUUAAACUUGCAUGUUUGUUCUCUGGACAGGCGAAGUAAUGGAUUUCAGCUGCCAGCACUACAUCUGGUGGGGGAUGUGUCCCUUCCCUGCUGCAGCAGCCGUCCUGGCUUUUGGUGUGCUAACCUGUGUUAUUGUGGUUGAAAUGGGUCAGGGAGCUCUCAUGCGAUGCCUGCUUCCCCAUGGCAGGGGGAUGGGAGCAUUCCCCUUCAGGGAGGUGGAGUGGGAUGAUAUGGUUGUGGGGCAGCAGGCAGACUGGCACAGCUGCCUGCAUGUGCUCUUUUGUCACACAGCUGUGGCAUGGAGCUCAGCGGGCAACAUCAGGGGAAGUGAAACAGUUCCUAAGUCCAAAUAAACCCUUAGGUAAAUGAGUAAGCUUGUUGCAGUUUUCACUUGUGCCUGCAUAUUGUUGGUGUAAGAUAUGAUGCCACAUAAUAGAAUUUUAUCAGUUUGAAAAAUGAUGUGUAAAAUUAUGAAGGUGCAGUUAAUCAAAUCCUUAUCUUGUUCAUAGCCUUACCCUUCACACAUCAGCAUUUGGUUCCAGAGCGUGCACUGAGUGCUACCAACCACAGUCUCAAAGCACCAAAGGAUUUCUCUUUGAAAAACUACUCUCCACUUCCAAAUCAUGCAGAUUGUGAGGAUGGAGUGAGUCCAAUGUAUUUGAUGAGGUGGCAGUACAGACUUUGAAAAGAAGUGUGCUUCUUUCUGAAAAUCAUUGUCUAAUGUAUCUGUAUCAGUGCAGGGUAACUUAAAUUAGUUGUAACGGUUUGGUCAGGCCUUCCCUGAAAGCCUGUUAAAUUUCACCUGAAUUAAUUUUGUUCAGCUUGAUAGCAAGACAGACUGGGAUAAGUCAAAUACUUCAUUGCCUUUGUAGGAAGCUGAACCAGCAACUUGAAGAAUACGAAAAAAAUGAAAGAAAACCUAACAUGAAAUGAAACACAAAGAAAAACCUGAAGCCAAUUCCUCUUGUAUUAUCAUAUUAGCUUUAAUUAGUGGUUAUUUAGUUCCAGGCAAGGUAAGGUUGCUUGGGAGUAAAUUUGUAGUGUGAAAACUCUUAUUUAUUGUGGUAAUUUGUUUGUUCCAAAAUAUUAGUAGGACAAUGCAAGUGUCAAUGUGAGUAAAGCUUUUAGUCCUGACAACUUAAUCUGAAUGUCCUUUCCAGAGUGCCUCACAUACAUGCUAACAGGAACCUAAAGGUCUGCUAACAGAACCAAAUCCUGUGAUACUGCAAAGCUGAUACAGGGGAAAAAAAAAAAAAAAAGCUGAAUGUGCUUACAAAUAUCCUUAUAUCCUCUGAAAUAAGAGGAUUGAUGUUAUAUUUAUUAUGCAAGCUGCUGCAACAAUAUGGGCUUUUUCCAAAAGAGUUGUCUUCAGCUUUCUUUGAGUCAUACUUAGUAGCUGUUUGCUGCAGGGUGAGUAAAUUCAGUUCAGCUUACCUCACUGUUACACAGCUGCAAGGUUGAGUGCAGAAGGGAGAAAAGACCCUCAGCUGCAAUGUGGCUGUCCCACUUGAUGAGAUGCUGCAGCCAUGUUGUUUGCAAUGGGUGUAGUGCCUGCCUGUGCUUGGAAAGCAGGGUUUGCGCUUGCUAGGUGUUAGUACAGUGUGCCAGGUAGAGGAACUGACCUGGCUGAAAGUAACCCAGAAUAGAGGAGAAAAGGAGUGGAGGCAGAAGUACUUAGCCAGGUGAACUUCCUGAUCUGGUUUGUUUAAUAGCUUCAGCUCUGGUGUAGGGAACCAUAUUGUUCUUGUUUUACUUCUUGCAACAGCACAGUUUUGCCAGCCUCAAGCAGAAGACAUGCAGGACAGUUUGGCCUGGUUAACAGGAGUCUCUCCUUACCUGGCUCUGGCCAGUAGUCAGUGCCUGUGUGACCUGGUUCAUUUUGCAGACAAUCCCCUGUGCCUCUCCUCCUCUACGCUGCUCCAAGGCCUCGUGGGGCUGCUGAGCUGAACCAAACACACAGUAGGAGCUCCACAACAGGGUAGGUGUGAGACCAUCCCCUUUGGUGGCCCAAACUGAGAAUGACUGCUGUCUUCUCACGUUUGCACGGUUGUUGCUUCACCAUUCCUUCCACUGUAACACUUUGCUUCCAUGAAAAAUUAAACAUGGCAAUUUUAAAGCUUUGAGAGCAAUGAUUUUAAAUGAAUUACACAGGCUUGGCUGCCAGUGCAUCUUUUACUUUAUUGCAGUGUGCCUUGUAAUUAUUCCUUUGUGCUUUGUGAGUGCCUCAUCUUCCCUUGCCUGCAGGUUUAGCUGCUCGUUUCCUGUGGUUAUUGGUCUCUUACAUGCGUAUGUUCUAAAUCUUGAUGCCAUGCAGAUUCAAUAAAUGCUCUCUGACUGGGUGUCAUGAGUCACAUAAAUACUCCUUAGCUCGGGGAUAAAGAGGCUGCUACUCCUUUGAGUCUGUAACUGUUCUACCAUCUUGAGUGUUAUGGCUUCUAGAAAGAUAAUCUAAGAAUAGCUCAUUUAGUUUCUGUGUUCAUUGAGCUUCCUACAUAGAAAACAAUGAGCAGAGCAGUGUCGCAUGCCUCACAGAUGUGUUGGAUUCCUUGGCUUAAUUGAUGAUUUGUAAAGCAUUGCAGAAUGCUGUUCCAAAGUGUAAAGGAAUCUGUUUAAAACAAGUAACCAAACCUCCUGACUUCUACAGUUAAUCAUAGAGGGAUUUCUGAGUGCUUUGCAUUCUGCGUGUGGGUUUUUGUGAAACAAGUUCAGCAUUGGUUACUCCAAAUUCUUAAUCAUCAUAUGAUGACUUUGGGAAUGGAAGUGAGGAUUAGUUUUCAUUUUAAGGUACGGACCAGCUGUAAGCCCCAGAUAUGAUGACAUGAACUGAAAUAGCACAUCCUUGGUUCAUUUACUGAGAUUUGUUGAAAUCUCUUAUUGCUGAAGUAAUAUGACUAUGGAAGGAGAUUAAGUUCAUUUCUUCUAAGAGGGAAUUAUUUUCUAGCCAGCUUUUCAUUAUACUAACCUUUCAUGUCGCGUUGCUGCUCUUCUAUUUCUUCAUGUAAGACCAGAAAGUAAAGUUCACAAUAACUUCUGUGGUCACAACCAGUUAACAUGCCAGUAUCUCAAAAGCAACCACAGUGGUGGUCUCUGUUAACUUAAAUGUGCAUCUAAUCUUCUGCAGGCAUACCUUUCUCAGGUGGGUUUGAUCUAGAAGAAAGCUGUAUUAACACACAUUCCAUAUGUGCAUGGAGCCAUUCCUGGAAUCAUAUGCAUUAUAUAUGUAAAUGUUUAUAUAUUAUGUGCAUAAAUAGCACAUAAAUAUAGAAUCAAACUAGACAAUGCCAAGAGAAUAUGUUAAAUUAUUCAAGUUCUACAAGCAUUGUUUUUGCAGUAGUGAAACUUAUUUUGGGUCAGGUUUGACUUUUUUUUAAAGUAACCUGCAGAUCUCCAGGGCACAGGGACUAUAAACAUACUGUGUCUUCAUACUGAUGCAGUCUUUGUUCAUCUAAAGGGUGUUAAAUUAGAAUUGAGAUGUUAUAGAGUAAAGCAAUUAUACCAGCAGUGCAAUGUAAUAUAGAGAAACAAGCGAUGUUACCAUUAAUAUCAUGGAAAGUCCAAACAUCAGACAUUUUCUGCAAUUGCUUUUGAAGUUCUUAGUCUACAACACACAAUAUUUUGGCAUACUAUUAGUAGGAAACUUCCUACUGAGAUGAUUAAGGUCGUGUAACUUCUGUCCCUGGAUAAGGGUAUGGGUUACUCCUUGCUGUCUCCCUGGGUAUGGCUGUACCAGCAGAGGAAUUAGAGGCUCUCUCAUCUGCUGGCAGUUCUCAGGGGAGUGUUUCUUAACCCACUUCUGUGGAAGUAAGCCAAAAGCAAACCACUGAAAUUAUUAUUUCCUAAGUUAGUUUGAAUAAAGUUUUGGGAAAGCUCUGGCACAUUCAAGCAGAAGAAGAAGGAGAGAAGAAUGGUGGUUGAAAUUUAGGCAAGCUCAUGAAAAUCUUCAUCUGACACUGUGGAAUGAUUAUCUGAAGGAUCAUAAACUAAUAUAUGUAUAUUUUUUAGUAUUUACUCACAUAAAGAAAUUAAAGUUGCAUUUCAUUUAUGAGCCUCAGAGGUCUGAUGCCUGUCUGCUGUUAAAAUGUCUGCUUUUAGAUGAUGCUUCUAAUAAUCGGGGCUGAGGGACUGAGGUUUUAGAACAAAACUGAUGGAUAUAUGAUUUGACCUCCCCAUGGGAUGGUUUCUCUUUCAUAGGUUUUUUUUUUGGGGGGGGGGGAAGUUUUCUUUUUUUAUUUAAUUAUAUGGCAAAUAAUAUUGUCAAGCACUGCAGAAAUAGUUUAGAAAGCAAAUGCAAAGGUGAUACAAAUGUAAAGUAGAUCUAAUCACUGCAAAUACAGAUGCUAAUAGUUGUCUAUCUCUGUACCUACAUUAAUGGAAAAACAGCCUUCUGUGUGUUUGGUUAUGUAUAAAGAAAAUGUGUGUGUUUGUUUUUUUUCUGGCCUUGGAAAUUUACUACUAAUGAGAAACUAUGCAAACAGAUCAUCACCCACUGGGAGCAUUAAGGUACAAAGAGAAAGCAUUGAGCAGUUGGAGUGAGGCAGUGAUCUAAUCGUGUUGACAGUCUGAAUGUCAGUUUUCCUUAGGCAACGUGUCUCCUUUAAGAAAAACUAAAGGAAUGUUUCAUGGAGGUUUUACAAAGAGUGUUUCUGAUCUUAACUGUAGACCUGCAGAAAGCUAUGAAUGGGAACCAUUUGGGAGCUUAAGCGAUAACAGUGGUGUCAUUGACUAAAUGGUUAUGGGGCAGAGCUUUUCUGAUCACUUUUUAGACCUAGAGGGCUCUGAAGAGUGAGGGCAAGAAUUGUAAGUCUGAUGUAAAGAAGCAAGAAUUAUCGUAAAAUCAUAGUGUAUCCUGAGUUGGAAGGUGCCCACAAGGAUCGAGUCCAGCCCUGGCUCUGCACCACAUCACCCGGAAUUCAAACUCUGUGUCUGAGAGAGCUGUCCUAACUCUUGUUGAACAACAGCUUGUGGCUGUGCCCACUGAACAGGGGAGCCUGUUCUGUGCCCUGUGGUCAAGGACCUUGCCUGACCCUCCCCUCAUGCAGCUCCAUGCUGAGCAGGGCAGCUCCUCCCCUCGCCCAGUGUGCAGUGCUGGGCCUGGUGCCCCUAGGGUAUGGUUGGGCUUUUAGCCUUGGCAGCCAAAAUUAGGCUGUAAUUAGAAGUCACGCUGAUUACAAAGGAAGGAUGUUUUCAAGUGCGUGAGGUUAUGCACUGAUAUGAAUCUUAGCUUAACUUCUGUCACAUCAGGUAAACAAGGGAAGAACCCAAUUUUCAUUAGCCUGUAUUUUAGGAUGUAGUUGAGUAUGACAUUUGCAAAUGUCAGAGACAGCAAGUCGCACCAUUUUUUCUUGAAGUCUAUGGAAAUUCCUUGUCCUCAGGCCAAAAUUAAGAUUCUGCUCUUUACUUCAAGGGCUGUGCUUCCUAAGCAAGGGCAUCAGCACAACUCCUGAAAAAAUCAGUGUUCCUAGCUGUAUCCCAGCUGUAAUACAGAGAUGGCCAGUGUACAGCUGAGUAGUUGUUGAGUGUUAUUGGUGGUUGUGUGGUGUUUUAAUACAAACAGUAAAGACAAACUUGAGGAAAAAUGUGCUGCUGCUUGGUUAUUGAGCAGCGAAUUCAGAAGAUGCUCAUCCACACGUGCACUUGUGAGGAGAGGGAGGGUUAAUUCAGUGAGGCACUCCAAGCUAUACUGUCUCUGCUUAUGAGUACUAAGUGUUUUAGACUGGUUGCUUUCUUCUAAGUUGAAUUGAUGCUUUGUUGGAAACAGCUGCAGUGAGACUGAGAUGAUGGUUACUCAGGAGGUUGCAGGUUGUUCUUGUGUGCGGCAGGUACUCUACCUGCUGAUGUAAAGCCAGAAUAAGGUUGUAUCCUCAUCAUCAGCCUAACUUCAUAGGUCAGGCCUGAUGGACAUCAGUCUUAAGAAGUGACCAUCUUUAAAAAAUAAGAUCUCCAGAAGGAGAUACUAACAUUUAUCAAUUUUAAAUGGUCUUGGCUUUGUUUAGGGGCUUGUUUCAUCAAGAAAGUUCAAAAAUAAUGCAGGCAUUAAAAUUGGAGAGGACUUCUGAGAUCACCGAGUUGCACAGUCAGCCCAUCCUUACCAUGCCCACUGACCAUGUCCCUCAGUGCCACAUCGUGGUUCUUGAAUACCUCCAGGGAUGAUGACUUCACCUCCUCCCUGGGCAGCCUGUGACAGUGCCCAGCUACUGUUUCAGAGAAGAAACUUGCUAAUAUCCAACCUUUAUCUCCCUUGGCAAACCUGAGGCAGUUGCCUUGUAUCCCAUCACUAGUUGACUGGGAGAUGAGGCUGAUCCUCACCUCACUCACUGCAACUCCUUUCAGGUCACUGUAGAGGGUAAUUAACUCUACCCUACACUUCUCCAGACUGAGCCAUCCCACUUCCCUCAGCUGCUUCCCAUCAGGCCUGUGCUCCAGACCUUUCACAGCUUUGCUGCCCUUCUUUGGACGCAUUCUGGUGCCUCAGUGUCCUUGUAAUGAGGGGCCCAAAACUGAACACAGCACUCAAGGUGCAGCCUCUCCAGCACAGAGUACAGAGAUACAAUCAGCUGAUUGUAUUUCUGAUACAAACUGGGAUGCCAUUGGCCUUGGCCACCUGGGCACCCUGCUGGCUUAUGUUCAGCCAGCUGUUGACCAGCACCCCCAGAUUCUUUCCAGCUGCACAGCUUUCCAGCCACUCUAUUUGAUGCCUGUAGCAUUGAGUUUUUCCUUCCUGCUUUUUUUUCUCUGAUUUUGAAUUCCUACAAAAAUAAUACGAUAAGGCAGGGAAUCUCUUUCAGAGAACCUCUGAGUAAAAUGGUACAGUUAUGCUCCUAGCAUCCAGAAUGAAAGAAGCCUAUGGCCAAUUCUGGAUUUGAGAGUGCUGAGUGCUUUCAAUAUUUUAUUAGCUCUGUUUGAAUAAUGUAAAAAUGGCUAUGUGCACAACAUUUUAUUUCUGUCACAAAAAGGACAGACAGUGUUGCACAGGUGCAGAAUUUUGCUGGUACAAAUCCUUGUCUUGCUGUUGGUGUUUGGCAGCUUGACUGAAAACACAAAAUCUGUGCUUCAUGUUUGCUGUUCAGAUAGAGAGAUACACAACAAAUCAUUAUCUUUGUUCAUCAGAUGCUUCAUAUUCUUGGAACUCAGUAAACGAAAGGAAGUUGGUAUGAACUCCCAUCACCCUUCCAAAAAGUUCUUCAGCAAAGACAUUUUUUUCAGAAUACAGAUAACCCCUUCAAGCUUCAAACACAGACUGUAACUCUCACAAGUACAUAUCAACCUGAAUAUACAUACCUCGAUAAUAAAACUUCUUUAUCAGAGUAUGUGGAUGUGGUCAUUUAACACCAGUAGGUAGGUAAGCGCCAUCAUUCUGCUCUCACACUCCUCUUCCUCAGAAGGACGGGGAGAAAAUGUGAAACAAUGUCAUGUGUUAAGGUAAGGACAAGGACAUCAGUCACUAGUUACUGUCACUAGCAAAACAGACUAGAAGAGUGAGAACUGAAAGCCAACUGAAAACACCACCUCCCCUACCUCUGGUACUUCCCCACCCUGUCAGUGGCACAGGGGAGCUGGGAAUGGGGCUGCAGUCAGUCUGUAAUGCUUUGUCUCUGCUGCUCCUCCAUGGUUUCUCUCUGCCCCUCCUCCACAUGGGGUUCCUCCAUCCUUCCCAAACUGAUCCUGUGUGGCCUUCCUGCAGGCUGCAGCUGUCCAAGCACUGCCCCGGCACAGCUCUGUACCACAGGGCCCACCCUUUAGGUACUGCCCCACAUGGGUCCCCAUCAGCAGCAGCUCCCCCAGCCCUCCUGCCCCAACACAGGCUUCUGCCCGUGGGCUACAGCUUCAUCCAGGGGCUGCUUCUGCUGGGGCUCCUCCGGGCCUCAUCCACUGCUGCACCGUGGGCUCCUCCAUGGCUGCAUGUGGAGGUCUGCUCUGUGUGGAACCUGCGGGCUGCAAGAGGAUGCCCGGCUCCUCCAUGGGCCUCUCCUGUGCUGCAGGGAGCUUCUACUCCUUGCCUGGAGCACAUUCUGCCCUCCUCCUGCGCUGACCUUGAUGGCUGCAGGGCUGCUUCUCUCGCAUUUUCUCACUCCUCUCUCCCAGCUGCUGUGAUGCAGCAGUUUUUUCCUUCCUUGGCUCUGCGUAGCUCUUGGCUCAGCUCUGGCGUCUAUGGGACCCUUUUGGAGCAUCUGGAGUUGGCUCUGAUCUGACAUGGAGCAGCUGCUGGGCUCUGCUUACAGAGCCCAUCCCUGCUACAGCAGAGAGAGAUGCUUGUAAGCCCAUGGAGCACAUUAGCCAUGAAAGCACAGUUCUUGCACAGUGUCACAGCUUCCCUGGACUUCUGCUGAGCCUUGGAAUCAUCAGAAAACUCAGUAUAAACAGUGAUCUGACCAUUCAGUUUGAGCAAAUCGGUUAUGGCUUUGGGGUCUGAUAAACUUUCCUGUUAACAUUCAGAUCCAUUUUUCUCUCCGGGAGAGAAUGUUUCAGGAGAGAUUCAGCUGUAUUUCUCAAGCCAAAUGUUAGCAGGCGAACAGUACUUAAGCUGUGCUACAAAAGUGCAUAAUAUACUAAUGUGUACUAGAAAGGGCCUGGGGAAUGUAGCAAAUGACCUCAAAUUCUUUGCCAAGUGAAGGAUUUUCUAUUUGUCCUUGAUGAUAUCAUGUAUAUAAAUUUAAAUAAUUUCUGCACUUUGGAUUUUUUGUCCUUGUGAAAUUCCAGACUCAAGUUUAUGGAAGAACUCCAGUGUUUGGCUUGUUUGGGAGUCUGCCCUGGAAUUGCUUCAGCAAACUUUCUGGAAGUAAAUGAAGGAGGCAAUCAUUGAAAAGUAAGAAGUGAGGUUCAUCCAUAAGAUUCCAAAGUAAGUGUGUCUAAACUCCAAGGCUCACCUAACAACAGUUUAUAGAACUGUGGGAAUGCAUGGGAGACUUCAGAUGGCCUAAGUGGACAUAAAUUGUGUGGCUGUGGAAAGGGGUCAUCCUACAGUUCCACGCCACCACUGGUGCAGCAGUAGCAUUUUUAUGGAAAUUCUGGUGAUUAACAGUCAUGGCAACCAUAGAGGAACUGGCCCAUCAAAUUAUUGAGCAGCAAAUGGGAGAGAUCACCCAUUCCCAAGGAGCUGUUGCACAAACACUAAUGGAUGGGGCAGCACAACGAAUACAGAUCGUCCCUUCAGAUUCAGGCCUCUCUUUACCACAGCGUAUACAGAUUGUCACAGAUCAGCAGACGGGCCAGAAGAUUCAGAUUGUUACAGCACUUGAUCAGAACUCAGCAGGCAAGCAGUUCAUCCUAACAAAUCAUGAUGGCUCUACCCCAAGCAAGGUGAUCCUUGCCAGACAAGAUUCCACUCCAGGAAAAGUUAUCCUAGCAACUCCAGAUGCUGCAGGUGUCAACCAACUGUUUUUUGCAUCCCCUGAUAUAUCUGCACAACACAUCCAGAUUUUAACAGACAACUCUCCCAAUGAGCAGGCCCUAAAUAAAGUGUUUGAUCUGUGUGUUGUGUGUGGAGACAAGGCAUCAGGACGUCACUACGGAGCAGUAACUUGUGAGGGUUGCAAAGGAUUCUUUAAAAGGAGCAUUCGGAAGAAUUUGGUGUAUUCGUGCCGAGGAACAAAGGACUGUGUCAUUAACAAACACCACCGGAAUCGCUGCCAGUACUGCCGGCUGCAGCGAUGCAUCGCCUUCGGGAUGAAACAAGACUCUGUGCAGUGUGAGAGGAAACCUAUCGAAGUGUCAAGAGAAAAGUCUUCAAACUGUGCAGCUUCUACAGAAAAGAUCUACAUUCGGAAAGAUCUUCGCAGCCCAUUGGCUGCAACUCCAACUUUUGUAACAGACAAUGAAACAGCAAGGUCAACAGGUCUGUUGGAAUCAGGAAUGUUCGUUAACAUUCAGUCUGGCAUUAAAAGCGAGCCUACAGUGCUGAUGACUCCAGAUAAGGUUGAAGCCUGUCAGGGAGACUUAAGUACCCUGGCAAAUGUGGUGACAUCUUUAGCAAACCUCAGUAAAUCCAAAGAUCUGUCACAAAGCAGUACAGAGCUGUCUAUGAUUGAGAGUUUAAGUAAUGGAGAUGGAUCGUUACCUGAACUUCAGCAAGAAGAACAAGGAAGUAGUGAUGUUACAAGGGCAUUUGAUACUCUUGCAAAAGCAUUAAAUCCUGGAGAGAGUGCAGCGUGCCAGAACUCUGAAAGUGUUGAGGCCAACGUGCAGCUUGGAGGUGGAGAAACAAGCAUGAAUAUCGUUGAAAUAGAGGGGCCGCUACUCAGUGAUGCACACGUAGCAUUCAGGCUCACCAUGCCUUCUCCUAUGCCCGAAUAUCUUAACGUUCACUAUAUCUGUGAGACUGCCUCCAGGUUGCUUUUCCUGUCUAUGCACUGGGCACGUUCCAUUCCAUCUUUCCAAGCUUUAGGACAGGAUAACAGCAUAUCAUUAGUAAAAGCCUGCUGGAACGAACUGUUUACGCUUGGUCUUGCACAGUGCUCUCAAGUCAUGAAUGUGGCGACUAUAUUGGCUGCGUUUGUUAAUCACCUUCACGACAGCUUACAGCAAGACAAGCUGCCAACAGACAGAGGAAAACUAGUAAUGGAGCACAUCUUCAAACUGCAAGAGUUCUGUAACAGUAUGGUGAAGCUUUGCCUAGAUGGAUAUGAAUAUGCAUAUUUGAAAGCAAUUGUACUCUUCAGUCCUGAUCACCCAGGGCUGGAAAAUGUGGUACAGAUUGAGAAAUUUCAAGAAAAGGCAUACAUGGAGUUCCAAGACUAUGUAACAAAAGCAUAUCCAGAUGAUACUUACAGACUGUCUCGACUUCUUCUCCGAUUGCCUGCCCUGAGGCUGAUGAGCGCUGCCAUUACUGAAGAGCUGUUCUUUGCAGGACUAAUAGGAAACGUUCAGAUUGAUAGCAUCAUCCCGUACAUCCUGCGAAUGGAGACGGCAGACUACAACACUCAAAUAAUCGGUCAUGCCGUAUAAAAGUAGCAAUCAAGGAUUCUGUGCCAUGGCAGUCAUGGUGAUGUAAAUGCGUACUCUGUCUCCAAGAGAUGGCAAUAGGCCUUCCCACGCACCUUUCUAAAGAAGACUCGUGUUCCUCCUUUCCAGUACGCUUGGGAAAUGCGGUGGAGUGUCUUAAGGAAUAUAGGAUCGCUUCCUAUUUUUCGUCUGAUCUUCAAGGACUUGUAAAUUAACUUGAUAUCUGAGGAAAGUCAAGAAUUGUUCAUCCUAUUUUUGUAGAUAGAUGAACUUGGAAUAUUUGUUUAUGAAUUGCAGGCUUGUGAAGAAACGGAAGAAGCUUUGACUGAACUAAGGAUUGCUCAUACACGGAUCCAGAGAUGGAAAUGCUUGGUGCUGAGGACCUCUGAUGGGAUGGAACCAUUCUCCCCUGCUCUGAAUUUGGCAUGUAGCGACUUUCUGGAGAGCAGCCUUUAAAGAUGCUGGAGAUUCCCACGUGACUGAGCCCUUCCCACAGUCCAUGUGUCGAAAGGAGAAGGAUUGAGGCUCUGUAUUCGUGUUCCCUGGAGUUCAUGAAGUGUGAGGACUUUUUUUCUGUCUCAAGAGGGCAGUAGUGAUGGAAAUGUGAAAGACAACGGCUGCGAAUAUGCUGUGCUUGUCUCCUCCCAGUGGUUAUUGGCCCCGCCAUCGUGCCGUCUGUAGGACCAAAUUGUGGAUGGGAAGUGAAUUGUUAUAUUCGUGUUUCCUCAGAAAGUUGGACCCUGUCUUCCAGCCCUUCUCUGUUGCUAGCAGGAACAGUUAUAGUUGUUUUAAACCUUUCAAGGAAGUUGCCAGGAGGUUACUCCUGAAUAAUUUGUAAAUGGUUUACCAGGCAUUCCAAAUAUUGGAAGAAUUUGAUUCCCAAUAUUCUCCAAAUUCAGAUAACCCAUUUUCCUUCUAAAUGCAGUAGAGACUGCAAAUCUCUCCCGCAUCAUUGCAGAUUUAUAUUUUUUUAGCCUUUGGGACCUGUGCCUCAGGCAUGACAAGCAGUUCUUUGUUUGCAGCUUACCAGAAGAUUCAGCAAACGUGGUUUUUGCAUGGUAUUGUUUCUCCGAAACAGCUGAGAAAAUACCAGUGUUUGUAGAGAGGUACAUCUUUAGGGAUUGAAUCCUUCAGCAUAUCUGUCUUUGAGAGCCGUGUUUUGAAGGAUGUGGCUAUAGAAAUUUGCUCUGAAAUUCUGCUUGUUCCCCUUUCACGCCGUAGUCUGAAUACAAGUUGGCCUACUGCAGGGAAGUGUGAACUGCUGUCACUGCUGACUGCUGGAUCAGGACAUCUUUGUUAGGCUGUGUUAACUCAGAAGCACAAGAACCACGGUGACAUUCUUUUUGGAUGCCUGUCACCUCUGCAUGGCAGCAGAAGUUUCAAAUCUCAGUGGCUGACAUUUCCCCUUCCCACAUCUCUUUCUGUUACUCUCCUGGCAAAAUCUUUUGAUCUUCAUCUGAGAUUUUUGCCAGAUCACUUAAAUCAAGAAUUCAAUCCAUCCAUGUUUUUCUUUUUAAAUCCAGUGUUUCCAGAUGUGAGACUACGCAUUCUGUGUUGGGUAGCAAGAGACAUGUGUCACACCCUUUCACGUGACAAAAACUUGCAGAUAUCAUAGAAUCUAGUUUUCUCAGGUGAGAAGUCAAACAGGACGCUCCAAGCUCAGUUACAGACUCAAUUCCCUCUUUUGAUAGCAGUAUAGUUGAGUCACCAUCAUUAAUGAGGAUGUACUCUAGUAGUUCCCAGGCUGCGUUUGGGCUUUGCUCAAUAUCUGUAUAGUAUUGUUACAAAAGGGAAAGCUAGUUCAAGAGAUCUUCACAUUGCCAAGAAGUGGCAUACAGUUUUUAUGUAUUGUGUGGCUAUGCACAUACUCAUCCAAAAAGAAAAGGUAUUUAUCUCAAAAAGAUUCCAGUUACUUCUGCUGUCCAUCUGUGCGAUAACCACAUGCCCUCCCUUCCCCUUGCUGUUGGUGGCUAACCAAAUGUAAGCUCCAUACUGACUGUCAGGUGAAACAAAAGAGGGAGACAGAUGCAUGUACACCUGAGGUAUUGUAAGGGCCUCCCCAAAAAACUAUAAUCUUGGAUACCUCCAAUGUUUGGACUUCUAUAGAGUGAAUGUGCAGAUAUGCAACACACUGCAAAAAGUGCUGCCUACUGGUAAGUAACCUUUUUCCCAAUGUUUGUUGCAUUUUUUCUUCAUAAAUGUUCAGUGUAAGUUCAGUACCAGGUUAAAGGCGUGCUGAUCUGUGCUGCUUGGCAAGUAUUCUCUCCUGUCUUGAUGACCAAGAAGGUGGAUCCCAUAGUGCAGGUGGCUGCGUUUGUAUUACUCACUUUUCUUACCAAGACUUUUCAUUUAUCAUUUUGGGUUCUUCAUGUGAGUUCAUGCUCUUAAUGAGGAGUGAGGUACAACUGGGCUUUCUCAGGAAUGGGCUGCCCUUCCUGCUGUUCAGUCACACUGUUCAGCCAACACAAAUACGAGCAGUAAGGCUCACUUCACUGUAGAUGUUAAAGUACCUCAUUAUUUUUGUGACCUUUAUGUUUUAUGUUUUUAAACCUUCUGAUCUUCAGCAUUCUGAAAUUUUCCAUACCUCGUCAGAAUACAACUAAACUGCAACACUUACUACUAAUAAUUUGCUUUGCCAAUGAAUGAACAAGCUCUGUUAUGACAGCUUUAAAAUGUUCAAUGUUGUGAAAAUUCAUUUCUGUAUCAAUCACAUGAAUGGAAAAAUGAUACAUUUGGAAUCCUGUCCCUUCAGAUGGGAGCAGUGAUACACAGAACAAAUGGACUAGUUUGGAAUUGUAUGUUGUGCAUAUAUAUAUGAGUUUAGGGGGCUUGUUUCACACUGGUAGAGUUCCUGAUACAAACAAUUGUUCUACUUUAAACUUGCUUCAAAAGCACUUUCACUGCAGUACCUUCUGCACUUAUAACCUGUUGGUACCUCUCUUCUGUGACCAUUGGCUUCAGUGAAAGUCACUGCUCUGUUACUCUGUUCAGCAGCUGUGGUUUCCCAGCACAGGCAUUAGAAUAUGGCUGUACCUGUUCUGCUCUGGUAUAAAAAAUUCAUUGUAAAUGUCUUGAAACCUGAAUUUGUAAAGGUCUAUUUUGGCUGUAUUUUUAAAAAUAAAUUGUAACUUCCUGUUAGAGAAAGCAAUAGUCAUCACCUGUCUGUUAGUGUUCUACACAGGUUGUCUUACAGCCUGAAGCAGUGUGUAUGAUUCCAAAGAGUCUGGAUAUUUCACUUUACUGUACAAUGAUGUGUUGUCAAUAGAUUUGUUCUCUGGGA